UACGAAGGGGGCUAGCGUUGCUCGGAAUCACUGGGCGUAAAGCGCACGUAGGCGGCUUUCUAAGUCAGGGGUGAAAUCCUGGAGCUCAACUCCAGAACUGCCUUUGAUACUGAAGAUCUUGAGUUCGGGAGAGGUGAGUGGAACUGCGAGUGUAGAGGUGAAAUUCGUAGAUAUUCGCAAGAACACCAGUGGCGAAGGCGGCUCACUGGCCCGAUACUGACGCUGAGGCACGAAAGCGUGGGGAGCAAACAGG
This 253-nucleotide ribosomal RNA is filed under the name uncultured bacterium. RNAcentral describes it as "partial 16S ribosomal RNA". It matches the Rfam family "Bacterial small subunit ribosomal RNA", at positions 524 to 776 of the family's 1533-position model. The record is from RNAcentral.